Molecule: long non-coding RNA, 2988 nt
Organism: Pan troglodytes (chimpanzee)
Lineage: Eukaryota; Metazoa; Chordata; Mammalia; Primates; Hominidae
Exons: 8
Source: RefSeq, a predicted model, not a curated record
AUGCAAUCAGAACAUGAAGUCUAGGAACCGGCAUGCGCAUAACCUCCGUAUAUAAAUGAUGCUGAAGACCCGUUACGGUUUUUUUUUUUUUAGGGUUCGGUGUUUUACUGUUGAGCUGCUCAGUGCCCAGCUUAGAGGACCAGGAAAAGGAGUCACCGGCCGUAUGCUGGAGGCUUGAGACACGGCACAGCGGCGCAGCUCGCCUCGCUAUGGUUGGUGGUGGCAGUGGAGAUUGCGAUUGCUGGAGGGGUAGGAAGAGGAAAAUAGUUUUGGGAUAGAUAGAGAGUCCUUUAGGUUGUUUGAGGGACAUUCAUCAAGGAAACCGGAGAAACUUAAAACGCUCUUCCGCUUCUUUGGAACAGUCACAGAGAAAAGUGAACUCCUUUCAUUCUUGCAGUAAUUUUUCUUGCUGAUGGGAACAGUUCAAGUCAAGUGACAUAACCUACUGGGUUGGUGACAUUUACAAGACAGAGCCUUGAGGAUUUUCCAGAGUGGGAAAGUCAAGGAACUUGAUGCUCCCUAAAUCCAAAUAUUACGGUUAAAAGAAGAGAGAGGAAAUGUGUGCAGAGAAAGUGUAUUUUACAAAUGAACUAAAGAUGGAUUCUGAGAUACAGGUUUAUAGAUUUACCUAGAGUUUUGAGUUCAGGAAGCCAUCAUUCUUUAGAGGGCAAUGACCAAACAGUACCAGCAGAAAUUGAAGUACCAGCAGAAGGCUAAGAAGGGAUCAUGGCACAAGCUGCAGUUUCCACCCUGCCCAUUGAAGAUGAGGAGUCCAUGGAAGAUGAGGAGUCCGUUGAAGAUGAGUCUGUUGAAGAUGAGUCCGCAGAGAGCAGGAUGGUGGUGACAUUGCUCAUAUCAGCUCUUGAGUCCAUGGAUCAUGGCACAAGUUGCAGUUUCCACUCUGCCCACUGAAGAUGAGGAGUCUGUUGAAGAUGAGGAGUCGUUGGAGAGCAGGAUGGUGGUGACAUUCCUAAUGUCAGCUCUCGAGUCCACGAGUCUCUGUUUCACCCAAUCUGGAGUGCAAUGAUGCAGUCGUAGCUAACUGCAGCCUCAACCACCUGGUCUCAAGCAAUUCUCCCGCCUCAGCCUUCCAAGCAUCUGGGACUACAGGUGCACACCAUCCAUGCCCAGCUGAUUUUUGUAUUUUUUUGUAGAGAUGGGAUCUUGUUAUAUUGCCGAGGCUGGUCUUGAACUCUGGGGCUAAAGCAAUACUUUCACCACAGCCUCUCAAGUAGCUGAAACUACAGAUGCAUACCACCAUGCCCAGCUAAUUUUCUCUUAUUUCUUUUUGUUGUUUAAUUGAGGGGGGGCUCUCACUGUGUUUCCCAGGCUGGUCCCGAACUUCUGGCCUCAAGCAUUUCUCCUGCUUUGACCUCCUAAACUGUUGGGAUUAUGGUUGUGAGCCCCAGCCUCUGUGUCCAGCAAUCACAAGAGGUCUUUAUAAGUGAAAGAGGGAGGUAAGAGAGUCAGAAUUGAAGGAGAUUUGAUGAUGGAAGCACAGGUCACAGAGGGAGAUUUGAAUAUGCUUUGCUUCUGGCUUUGAAGAUGCAGUUAGGGGCCAUGAGCUAAAGAAUAGGGGUUGCUUUCGGAACUGGGAAAGGCAAGGGAACACCUUCUCUCUGGAACCUCCAGAAGGGAUGCAGUCCUGCUGACACCUUGACUUUAGCCUUAAUAGACCUAUUUUGGACUUCUGGCCCCCAGACCUGUUAGGUAGUAGAUUUGUGGUGUAUCAAGCCACUCAAUGUAGGGUAGUUUGUAACAGCAGCAAGAAGAAAUGAACAUGAAGCCAGGGGUAGUGGCCCACACCUAUAAUUCCAGCUAUUUAGGAGGCUGAGGCAGGAUGGUUGCUUUGGCCCAGGAGUUCAAGAUAAGCCUGGGCAACAAAGUGAUACCCUGUCUACAUGGGAAAAAAAAAUUAGCGGGUGUAGUGGCAUGCACUUGUAGUCUUAGCUACUAGAGGCGCUGAGGCAGGACGAUUUCUUGACCUAGGAGUUCCAGGUCUCAGUGUGUUGUGAUCGUGCCAUGGUGCCCCAGCCUGAGUGACACAGCGAGAUUAUAUCUUAAAAAAAAGUAAAAAGAAAUGAGUGAGCAUGGCAGGAAUGGGGACACAUAGCAAUAUUAAAUAGAGUGGUCAGGGUUGGCCUCCUAAGUGAAAAUUGAGCAAAGACUUGAAGGAGGGGAAGGAGCUGGCCAAGGUACUGAGGGAAGAGCAUUGUAGGCAGAAACAACAGAAUAAAGAUGCUGAGGGAACUCCGUGGUGUGUCUGAAGCUCAGGAAAGAGGUCUGUCGAGUAGAGAGAGGGAGAGAAGGUAGGGGAGGAGGCCAGGGAGUUGUGGGACUCAGAUCAGUACAGAUUGUGCAAGCCCUGGGAGGCUAUUGCUGGGGCUUUGGCUUCUAUGCUGUCUGAGAUGGGAGAUGCGGAAGGGUUCUGAGCAGAGAGGUGACACGAACUAUCUAUUGAUUUAAAAGCAUCCCAUGGUGGCUGAGUUGAGAAAGAUUGUGGCAAGAUUUGGGUAGAAGCACGGAGGCCAAGCUGUGGCAACAUCCAGGUAGGAGAUGAUAGUGGUUCUGACCAGGGUCCUGGCAAUGGUGAGAGAUGGUUGAUUCUUGUUGAGAUACUAAGUAAUUAAAAAAAACAAAACACUACUGCUUUUCCUGAUUAUAUGAAGUAUGGGAUGCUAGAUUAAAGACAUCUUAAGUCGGGCCAGGUGCAGUGGCUUAUGCCUGUGGCGUCAGCACUUUGGGAGCACUUUGGGAGGCACAGAUGGCACAGAUGGGAGAAUUGUUCGAGUCCAGGAGUCUGAGACCACCCUGGGCAACAUAGCAAGACCUCCUGUCUAUGCAAAUAAAAAUUAAUAAAAUAUAAUUAUCAUGGGAUAGUGGUAUUUUGCUGUAGAACCAGUUACUCUGGUUGUCGAGGUGGGCAGAUCUCUUGAGGGUGGGAGUUUGAGGCCAGCUUGGGCAACAUAGCAAGGCUCCUCUUUCUAC